RNAcentral lists this non-coding RNA (30 nucleotides) under Homo sapiens (human). The record is from RNAcentral. Lineage: Eukaryota; Metazoa; Chordata; Mammalia; Primates; Hominidae.
UUUGAUAGGAACUAGGUUUCAGUGAAAUGA